RNAcentral lists this ribosomal RNA (329 nucleotides) under uncultured eukaryote. RNAcentral's name for it is "partial 18S ribosomal RNA". It matches the Rfam family "Eukaryotic small subunit ribosomal RNA", at positions 1470 to 1796 of the family's 1831-position model. The record is from RNAcentral.
CCCUUAGAUGUUCUGGGCCGCACGCGCGCUACACUGAGUGUCUGAGAUACGAGUCUGCCUAGUCCGGCAAGGUCUAGGUAAUCGCUAAAAGACACAUCAUGCUUGGGAUAGAUUAUUGCAAAUAUUAAUCUUGAACGAGGAAUUCCUAGUAAGCGCAAGUCAACAGCUUGCGUUGAUUACGUCCCUGCCCUUUGUACACACCGCCCGUCGCUACUACUGAUUGGAUGUUUAAGCGAGGUUCUCGAACUGCUAGCGACUUAGCUUCGGUGAGGUCGCAGCGUGGGAAGUGAACCUAGCUUUGGUGUCUAGAGGAAGUAAAAGUCGUAACA